This 564-nucleotide ribosomal RNA is filed under the name Trichosporon sp. enrichment culture clone MM 4012. RNAcentral's name for it is "eukaryotic LSU rRNA". It matches the Rfam family "Eukaryotic large subunit ribosomal RNA", at positions 71 to 627 of the family's 3401-position model. The record is from RNAcentral. Lineage: Eukaryota; Fungi; Basidiomycota; Tremellomycetes; Tremellales.
AGGAUUCCCCUAGUAACGGCGAGUGAACCGGGAAGAGCUCAAAUUUGAAAUCUGGCAGUCUUCGAUUGUCCGAGUUGUAAUCUAUAGAAGCGUUUUCCGUGCUGAACUGUGUAUAAGUCCCUUGGAACAGGGUAUCAAAGAGGGUGACAAUCCCGUACUUUACACAAUCAUCAGUGCUCUGUGAUACGUUCUCUACGAGUCGAGUUGUUUGGGAAUGCAGCUCAAAAUGGGUGGUAAAUUCCAUCUAAAGCUAAAUAUUGGCGAGAGACCGAUAGCGAACAAGUACCGUGAGGGAAAGAUGAAAAGCACUUUGGAAAGAGAGUUAAACAGUACGUGAAAUUGUUGAAAGGGAAACGAAAUUCAUGAAUCAUGUUUAUUGGACUCAGCCGUUCUUCGGUGUACUUCCUUUAAACGGGUCAACAUCAGUUUUGUCCGAUGGAUAAAGGUAGUAGGAAGGUGGCUCUCUCGGGAGUGUUAUAGCCUAUUGCUGCAUACAUUGGAUGAGACUGAGGACUGCAGCUUGCCUUUAUGGCCGGGGUUCGCCCACGUCAAGCUUAGGAUGUG